Musa acuminata AAA Group (dessert banana) is the source of this 1740-nucleotide RNA transcript. RefSeq lists it as uncharacterized. The record is from RefSeq and is a predicted model, not a curated record. The transcript has 3 exons. NCBI's taxonomy places the organism in Eukaryota, Viridiplantae, Streptophyta, Magnoliopsida, Zingiberales, Musaceae.
UUUGUGUUUUUGCUUGUGUAGGUCAAGAAGUUGGAGAAGGAAGGGGUCCCGUCGAAGCAAGCGGAGGCCAUAACGAAGGUUUUGAACGAGAUCGCCCGCUCCCUUGGGUCCAAGCCCGAGAUACAGAGGGAUCAACACUAUCCAAUGCUGCAACGAGAGACUGAAGAAAAUCUUCGAGUUGAUAUCGAGAAAAUGCGUAGUGAACUUAGGUCUGGUUUGCAUUGAAGUAUAUAACAGAUUAGUAAGCCAAUUAUAUCCAGAUUAAUACUUCUUUCUUUAAUUUAAACUCACUGUCUUAAACAGAUAUGAAAUCGACAAGGUAAUUGCUGGGCAGCGCUUGGAUCUAAUCCUCGAGAGACGGUAAGGGAUGUUAAUGUCUAUUUGAUAAUGGAAUAUGUGGUGAUACCUCAGGCUGAAUUAUUGUCCAUAUUUGUUACAGAAAAUACACUUUUUUAAUUUAACAACUAGGUUAACCAUGCUAGUUCAGAUGAAGAGUUCAUGUUGUAGGUAACAAAAAACAAGAGUUCAUAUUGAUUUGAAUUCUGAUUUAUCAUCAAGACGUUCUGGUCUGAGUGUUGCUAGAUCACUGUGCUAAUGUUGAUCCAAUGUUUCAUUUGACUUUGUUCAUUUUUUAUCACCUUUGUUAUGCCUGGAGCAAACAAAUAGGACUACCAUCAGUAGCAUCGAUCAAUGAUUAUGUAUGUGCUUAUUGCAAGUAGCUUUUCAUUUUUAAUGUGCUGUACCGGAUGAAUGUAGUAGCUUUAAUUUUAACUUCUUUUUUCUAAUUGUUUAGGCGCAUACGUCACAAGUUACGUGACAAGUUAGCCAAACAAAAUGCAGAAACCACAAAACUUAUUACCAAAAUCGAGAAGGAAAUCCUUGCAUUAAGGGCACAGCUAGACGCAGCAAAAUAUGAUGCCACAAAGUUCUGCAUCGUUACUGUUGUUUCUAUAUGUGCUGUUGCUUGUCAGAUUGCGGCUCUCACGUUCAGUUCCUCGCGUGUAGAAGCGGCUGAGGAGAUCCCCAAGGACAAAUGAUUGAUUUACCAAUUCUAACCCUACAUACUAUGAUCUACAUGUACCUGACAAAAUGAAAGCAAAUGAGAAACUUAAAAGGCUUCAGCGAAGAAAAGAAAAUUGAUUACUUUGGUAAAUCAAUAAAAAUCUGCUACGGGAACGGGUGGAGAAAGUUCGUUAGCAUCCAUGGGAACGGUCUUCGUCAUCAUAGCAACCGCCCAACCGCCCAAGGGGGCCAAGAAGCCAAAUAAAACCCUUCUCUUCGCGGCCUAAGCAACAGGAAGAAGAAAGGUUGUCGAUAGCGAACGCGACAAUAUAUUUCCUUUUUUCGUUUUCAUCCCCCUCGAUCUCGAAUCGGACGGACGAGUUCUCACUUCGCGAUCCAGAUGUCUGCGGCGGCUAUCGCCUGCAGUAGAGGCGCCGCCGCGUUCGGGUUUCGUUGCUGGUCGCUGAUGCGGCUGCUGGCGGCGCAAGUCGGGUGCCCUCGGUCCAAUUUAUCGCUGCUGCAGCGCUUCACUUCGGACGAGAGCAACGGGAGUAGGGCUUGCCUUAUCGACACGCUCGCUCUGGUACUGCGCUACCUUAUCAGUGUUCGAUUGAUGGGACAACUACCUUAGGGCUUCCCCCAACCUGCAGUUUGCUGUGGUGAGUGGUUGACAGCCUCGUGCGCCAUCAUAAGUACACACCCUGGAAAGGCAGGCGAAGGCAAGUGAAGCCCAUCGAC